Molecule: transfer-messenger RNA, 404 nt
Filed under: Candidatus Moraniibacteriota bacterium
Lineage: Bacteria; Candidatus Moraniibacteriota
Description: Candidatus Moranbacteria bacterium transfer-messenger RNA
Rfam family: transfer-messenger RNA
About the family: Bacterial tmRNA, also known as 10Sa RNA or SsrA, is named for its dual tRNA and mRNA-like properties. Its role is to liberate the mRNA from a stalled ribosome. To accomplish this part of the tmRNA is used as a reading frame that ends in a translation stop signal.
Source: RNAcentral
GGGGUUGUUUAUAGACUCGACAGGCUGUACUUUCAAAAUAUGCAAGCCGACUUUGAAAGAAACGUCGCAAAUCUUUCUUUCAUGAUGAUAAACGCAAACUUCAUCACCAAAGCCAAGAACGCAAUCGCUUCGGCCUUUGCUCCUUCUUUUGCUUUUGCUCGCGCCUAAUCGCGCGUAGCCAUCGGACUCCCGAUUCUCAAUACGGAAUCUCCGGUGCUAUAAACAUUGAGACGCUAUGGGAAAUUUUCUUUUCUUUAAAUCCCGGACGCGUAUUGCCAAAGAAAACUCUCCUUGAGGCUUUGUUUGCUUCUUACUCAGAGAGAUGUACUGAAAGCAAACUACGCUUGUAGACUAUUUUGGAAAAACUUCUCUGGACAUGGGUGCAAUUCCCAUCAACUCCACCA